CAAAGGCAUAAUUCACCAUAUCCCUUCCAAAUCAAGUAGAGUCCAUGUGCGUUUCAAUACAUUUAGCAAACGCAUGCUCCUAUGGUUUGGAGCCACUUGAUUCAGAUGAAUGAAGUCUGUUUAAGAUCUUCAUGUAUAUCUCUGAUCCCAUAGAGAUGUUAUUAUGACCACAUUCAUAGGCUGCAUGUUCAGUUAUUCGGAAACUACCAAACUAACAAAGUAGUGGAGUUCAAUGACAUCCAUUACGAGAGCAUAUCUCAUCGUAGUUGAUCCCAGUGCUUGUUAGUGAAAGACCUUGCGCCAUAAGGUGAGUCUAAGCUCUUACUCUCACUACGCUAUCUAACAAAGGCAUAGUUGAUAGGGUUUAGCUUGCGGUGUCGGCAUCACCUGCCCAAGGACCUAUCUCUUUGUUAAUGCUGGAUCGUAUCUUUCCAUUAGGCCAAUCAACUAAGUUGAUAUCCAUCAACGAAGGGUGGUUCGAUAGUAGACUCAUUAUCCCACGUCCUCAUGUACACUAGUGUAAUACUUGUAGAGAUCUCUAUAUGGAUUGGAUUUGACAUUGAGGCGUCCCCCAACGAUAAUCACAAUUCAGACUUCAUGAGACGGAUUUGAGUAUCACUGAUCAAUGGAUCAGGUUGUGCCAAGCUCGCUUUCU
RNAcentral lists this long non-coding RNA (655 nucleotides) under Fragaria vesca (wild strawberry). Its description in RNAcentral is "long non-coding RNA (FVES_LNC003538)". Lineage: Eukaryota; Viridiplantae; Streptophyta; Magnoliopsida; Rosales; Rosaceae. The record is from RNAcentral.